Molecule: ribosomal RNA, 1372 nt
Filed under: uncultured bacterium
Lineage: Bacteria
Description: bacterial SSU rRNA
Rfam family: Bacterial small subunit ribosomal RNA
Source: RNAcentral
GAUGAACGCUGGCGGCGUGCCUAAUACAUGCAAGUCGAGCGAACGGACGAGAAGCUUGCUUCUCUGAUGUUAGCGGCGGACGGGUGAGUAACACGUGGAUAACCUACCUAUAAGACUGGGAUAACUUCGGGAAACCGGAGCUAAUACCGGAUAAUAUUUUGAACCGCAUGGUUCAAAAGUGAAAGACGGUCUUGCUGUCACUUAUAGAUGGAUCCGCGCUGCAUUAGCUAGUUGGUAAGGUAACGGCUUACCAAGGCAACGAUGCAUAGCCGACCUGAGAGGGUGAUCGGCCACACUGGAACUGAGACACGGUCCAGACUCCUACGGGAGGCAGCAGUAGGGAAUCUUCCGCAAUGGGCGAAAGCCUGACGGAGCAACGCCGCGUGAGUGAUGAAGGUCUUCGGAUCGUAAAACUCUGUUAUUAGGGAAGAACAUAUGUGUAAGUAACUGUGCACAUCUUGACGGUACCUAAUCAGAAAGCCACGGCUAACUACGUGCCAGCAGCCGCGGUAAUACGUAGGUGGCAAGCGUUAUCCGGAAUUAUUGGGCGUAAAGCGCGCGUAGGCGGUUUUUUAAGUCUGAUGUGAAAGCCCACGGCUCAACCGUGGAGGGUCAUUGGAAACUGGAAAACUUGAGUGCAGAAGAGGAAAGUGGAAUUCCAUGUGUAGCGGUGAAAUGCGCAGAGAUAUGGAGGAACACCAGUGGCGAAGGCGACUUUCUGGUCUGUAACUGACGCUGAUGUGCGAAAGCGUGGGGAUCAAACAGGAUUAGAUACCCUGGUAGUCCACGCCGUAAACGAUGAGUGCUAAGUGUUAGGGGGUUUCCGCCCCUUAGUGCUGCAGCUAACGCAUUAAGCACUCCGCCUGGGGAGUACGACCGCAAGGUUGAAACUCAAAGGAAUUGACGGGGACCCGCACAAGCGGUGGAGCAUGUGGUUUAAUUCGAAGCAACGCGAAGAACCUUACCAAAUCUUGACAUCCUUUGACAACUCUAGAGAUAGAGCCUUCCCCUUCGGGGGACAAAGUGACAGGUGGUGCAUGGUUGUCGUCAGCUCGUGUCGUGUGAUGUUGGGUUAAGUCCCGCAACGAGCGCAACCCUUAAGCUUAGUUGCCAUCAUUAAGUUGGGCACUCUAAGUUGACUGCCGGUGACAAACCGGAGGAAGGUGGGGAUGACGUCAAAUCAUCAUGCCCCUUAUGAUUUGGGCUACACACGUGCUACAAUGGACAAUACAAAGGGCAGCGAAACCGCGAGGUCAAGCAAAUCCCAUAAAGCUGUUCUCAGUUCGGAUUGUAGUCUGCAACUCGACUACAUGAAGCUGGAAUCGCUAGUAAUCGUAGAUCAGCAUGCUACGGUGAAUACGUUCCCGGGUCU